CAGCAGCCGCGGUAAUACAGAGGGUGCGAGCGUUAAUCGGAUUUACUGGGCGUAAAGCGUGCGUAGGCGGCUUUUUAAGUCGGAUGUGAAAUCCCUGAGCUUAACUUAGGAAUUGCAUUCGAUACUGGGAAGCUAGAGUAUGGGAGAGGAUGGUAGAAUUCCAGGUGUAGCGGUGAAAUGCGUAGAGAUCUGGAGGAAUACCGAUGGCGAAGGCAGCCAUCUGGCCUAAUACUGACGCUGAGGUACGAAAGCAUGGGGAGCAAACAGGAUUAGAUACCCCGGUAGUCCCUGUCUCUUAUAU
Molecule: ribosomal RNA, 301 nt
Filed under: uncultured bacterium
Lineage: Bacteria
Description: partial 16S ribosomal RNA
Rfam family: Bacterial small subunit ribosomal RNA
Source: RNAcentral